Molecule: long non-coding RNA, 503 nt
Filed under: Capsicum annuum
Lineage: Eukaryota; Viridiplantae; Streptophyta; Magnoliopsida; Solanales; Solanaceae
Description: long non-coding RNA (CANN_LNC018493)
Source: RNAcentral
AAAACUCAUCAUCUUGUACCCCCUAAGAGACACAUUCUCUAAUUUGGGUCUUUCAUGUGUGCACUUCCUAAUUUGAGCCUUUAAUCCUAAAAGAUGCACUUUUAGUAAGAAUCUUUCACUUUCACUCUUAAGAGAGGGACUUAUUGGUCUUAGUCAUUCAAUUUUACCCUCAAAAGGUGCAUUUGUUAAUCAGAAUCAUUGAUUCAUCUUUACAUUAUGCAUUGUUGCAAGUAGUUGUGAUUGGGUUGGACACCUGCAAAAGCUUUUGAUAAUGAACUGGGACAAAAAUAAAAUUUAAUUCCUGUUAUUAGGAACUUCACUUUAGGACCCUCCUACAAACUUUAUCAUAAUAUUUGUGUGGGAUAAUUUUCAUUCUAUUUGAUGUUGAUAUCAGGAGCCCACCUGAAAAACAGGGUGAUGAAAUGAUAAGUCAGGAGCCCGCCUGAAGAACAGGGUGAUGAAAUGGUAAGUCCGGAUCCUGCUUGAAGAAUAGGGUGAUGAAA